RNAcentral lists this ribosomal RNA (392 nucleotides) under uncultured bacterium. RNAcentral describes it as "partial 16S ribosomal RNA". It matches the Rfam family "Bacterial small subunit ribosomal RNA", at positions 523 to 918 of the family's 1533-position model. The record is from RNAcentral.
AUACGGAGGAUGCGAGCGUUAUCCGGAUUUAUUGGGUUUAAAGGGUGCGCAGGCGGCCAUUUAAGUCAGCGGUUAAAUCGUGGGGCUCAACCCCAUUCUGCCGUUGAUACUGGGUGGCUUGAUUGCGGUCGAGGUUGGCGGAAUUCGUUGUGUAGCGGUGAAAUGCAUAGAUAUGACGAAGAACACCGAUUGCGUAGGCAGCUGACCAGACCGCAAAUGACGCUCAUGCACGAAAGUGCGGGGAUCGAACAGGAUUAGAUACCCUGGUAGUCCGCACAGUAAACGAUGAAUACUUGUUUUCGGCGAUAUAAUGUCGGAGGCAAAGCGAAAGCGAUAAGUAUUCCACCUGGGGAGUACGACCGCAAGGUUGAAACUCAAAGGAAUUGGCGGGG